This 626-nucleotide ribosomal RNA is filed under the name uncultured bacterium. Its description in RNAcentral is "bacterial SSU rRNA". It matches the Rfam family "Bacterial small subunit ribosomal RNA", at positions 51 to 687 of the family's 1533-position model. The record is from RNAcentral.
UUCCAUGCAGUCGAGCGAGGCGGGGAGCAAUCCCCAGUCGAGCGGCGAACGGGUGAGUAACGCGUGGAUGACCUGCCUUGAGGUGGGGGAUAACUCGGGGAAACUCGAGCUAAUACCGCAUAGGAUCGUGAGAUCAAAGGGGCGCAAGUCCCGCCACAAGAGGGGUCCGCGUACGAUUAGCUAGUUGGUAGGGUAAUGGCCUACCAAGGCGACGAUCGUUAGCCGGCCUGAGAGGGUGAUCGGCCACACUGGAACUGAGACACGGUCCAGACUCCUACGGGAGGCAGCAGUGGGGAAUUUUGCGCAAUGGGCGAAAGCCUGACGCAGCAACGCCGCGUGGAGGAUGAAGGUCCUUGGAUCGUAAACUCCUGUCAGCAGGGAAAAAGGCUCAUGGCCACACCGUGAGAUUGAUUGUACCUGCAGAGGAAGCCCCGGCUAACUCUGUGCCAGCAGCCGCGGUAAUACAGAGGCCUCAAGCGUUGUUCGGAAUCACUGGGCGUAAAGGGUGCGUAGGCGGCGCGGAAAGUCAGGGGUGAAAUCCCGGAGCUCAACUCCGGAACUGCCUUUGAUACUCCCGCGCUUGAGAACUGGAGGGGACAUCGGAAUUCACGGUGGAGCAGUGAAAU